This 581-nucleotide long non-coding RNA is filed under the name Cotesia glomerata. RNAcentral's name for it is "uncharacterized LOC123270994, transcript variant X1". The record is from RNAcentral. Lineage: Eukaryota; Metazoa; Arthropoda; Insecta; Hymenoptera; Braconidae.
CCGUGCUGCCACCUGGAAAAAACUUAGUAGCGUCAAAUCGUAAAAAGCUAAACUCGGUUUAGCUUUUUAUGCUGAGGGUGGAGCGUCAAUUUACAAAUAAUAUAAUCGAACUCGAAAAUAAUCGAUUUUGACAAAGUUUAAGAAGCCAAAUUAUUUAUUUCUGUGUUAAAUAAAUGUCUGUUUGAAUAUUGAAUAAAUAUAGAAUAAUAUUAAUUUUAGAAGGCAAAUGCAAUGGCACUGUUUGAAGAUUUCGUCGAUAGUAUGAAGAAAGAGUUGGGAAGACGGCUUCGAAAAAUCCAUGCUCUCGUCGUAAUUUAAAUAAAGGAUGGAUCCAAAAUUUCUUUGGUGUAUAUUUUUUUUUAGAUCUCUGGAUAACUAUUUCAUUGCAUAAUAAAGCACAUAUGAUCCUUUUACGUCGAAUUUUUUUUUUAUUUGCGCUUGACGAAUUAUUUUUUGACACUGAUAAAUCCACAAUUGAUAAUCAUAUUCAUCUGCCAUUGAAAUUUCGAUAAGUCACUUAAAUUUGAUGUUAAGAACUAGCUUCUAGCUAGGUGGAGCUAUAGUUUGACGCUCAAAGCUAG